GAUGAAUUUUUAAUUCAUCCCUAAAUAUUGUGAUGAAUUGCAAAUUCAUCCCUAAUUUGGGUUGAAUAUGUAUUUGUCGUAAAUUUGCCAUUAUAAGCUUCCCCAUCCAUUGAACUCCCCGUUUUCCCCUUUUCCCCUUUUCCCCUUUUCCUCCUCUGUCCUUAACUCUACGCUAUUGUUGGUUGAUCUCCAUUUCCCCAUGAGGUGAGGCAAAGCUGUGAGUGCGGUGUUGAGCAGGGACAAAAUGAGGUAAGCCCUAUGGGGCCGCGUAGAUCAGGGCUGGAUUUGUGUCCUAUAGGAUAGGCGACUUUGCCGUCAGAUCUAUCCUACACAACCCUUUGGGGUCGUGUAGUUUCGGCGGUAUAGCCACCGGUAGACCACUGAAUCUGUGUCCUAGAGAGUGGAUCCAGGUUUUGCGCACAUCAAGUUUCACAGAUCUUGCAGCCUUAAGAAAUCAGUAGAUCAAGCGCUAAAUUCGGCAACGAUGUUUGGAAGUGGGAUGGGCAACCUAAUCUACGAGGAGACGUGUGACAUCCUCAAGAUCUUCCUCAAGAAUGUGAUCCCUAACACCGUGACCUACACCGCCAUGGGCAUUGUCUAUACGCUGAAGAGGAAGGGAAGGACCUAUAUCUUCUGCGGCUAAUCAAACAUAAGAUAAGGAAAAGAAGGACAACUACAAAUAUGUUAACCAUAGUUUCAGCUCAUUGAAGUUAAUGCUUAGUGAAUGAGUCGAAUCAUUUUUUUUUUGGUUCUUAGCUAAGAGUUUGUAGAUGAACACUAAUUCUGAAUUAGUUUAUUCUCUAUUGAUGAUUGUAAUAAAGAAGAUUGUAUUGAGAGAUUAUUGAUGCAAUCAUCCUUGGAUCAAGGUUGAUCAAUUUGACUAA
Molecule: long non-coding RNA, 884 nt
Organism: Zingiber officinale
Lineage: Eukaryota; Viridiplantae; Streptophyta; Magnoliopsida; Zingiberales; Zingiberaceae
Exons: 2
Source: RefSeq, a predicted model, not a curated record